UACAGAGGGGGCAAGCGUUAUUCGGAAUUAUUGGGCGUAAAGGGCGCGUAGGCGGCCUGGCAAGUGGAAGGUGAAAUCCCUCGGCUUAACCGAGGAACUGCCCUCCAAACUGCUUGGCUUGAGUCCGGGAGAGGUGAGUGGAAUUCCCAGUGUAGCGGUGAAAUGCGUAGAUAUUGGGAGGAACACCUGUGGCGAAGGCGGGUAGCUGGGCCGACACUGACGCUGAGGCGCGAAAGCCAGGGGAGCGAACGGG
This 253-nucleotide ribosomal RNA is filed under the name uncultured bacterium. RNAcentral's name for it is "partial 16S ribosomal RNA". It matches the Rfam family "Bacterial small subunit ribosomal RNA", at positions 524 to 776 of the family's 1533-position model. The record is from RNAcentral.